GGUCCAGUAGCAUAGUGGUUAAUGCAGCGGAAUUUAUUACAUCAACCGUGAAUUGUAUUCUGAGUUGCCUUGGUCGAAUCAAGGCUGGACCA
Non-coding RNA from Mycena rebaudengoi, 92 nucleotides. Lineage: Eukaryota; Fungi; Basidiomycota; Agaricomycetes; Agaricales; Mycenaceae. The record is from the annotation of a GenBank genome assembly.